This 301-nucleotide ribosomal RNA is filed under the name uncultured bacterium. Its description in RNAcentral is "partial 16S ribosomal RNA". It matches the Rfam family "Bacterial small subunit ribosomal RNA", at positions 509 to 809 of the family's 1533-position model. The record is from RNAcentral.
CAGCAGCCGCGGGAAAACGUAGGUGGCAAGCGUUGUCCGGAAUUAUUGGGCGUAAAGCGCGCGCAGGCGGAUCAGUUAGUCUGUCUUAAAAGUUCGGGGCUUAACCCCGUGAGGGGAUGGAAACUGCUGAUCUAGAGUAUCGGAGAGGAAAGUGGAAUUCCUAGUGUAGCGGUGAAAUGCGUAGAUAUUAGGAAGAACACCAGUGGCGAAGGCGACUUUCUGGACGAAAACUGACGCUGAGGCGCGAAAGCCAGGGGAGCGAACGGGAUUAGAUACCCCUGUAGUCCCUGUCUCUUAUACA